RNAcentral lists this small nuclear RNA (176 nucleotides) under Phasianus colchicus (ring-necked pheasant). RNAcentral's name for it is "U2 spliceosomal RNA (ENSPCLG00000009447.1)". It matches the Rfam family "U2 spliceosomal RNA". Rfam says of the family: U2 is a small nuclear RNA (snRNA) component of the spliceosome (involved in pre-mRNA splicing). Complementary binding between U2 snRNA (in an area lying towards the 5' end but 3' to hairpin I) and the branchpoint sequence (BPS) of the intron results the bulging out of an unpaired adenosine, on the BPS, which initiates a nucleophilic attack at the intronic 5' splice site, thus starting the first of two transesterification reactions that mediate splicing. Lineage: Eukaryota; Metazoa; Chordata; Aves; Galliformes; Phasianidae. The record is from RNAcentral.
GUUACUUUCAGGCCUUUUGGCUGAAAUUGAGUAUAUUAUCUGUUCCUCUCAGUUUAAUAUCUGAUACAUUCUCAAUGAAAAGAUUGAAUGAAAUAUAUUAUCUCUGUUGUGAUUUCGCACUGGUAAGUAAAUCAGCUUUGUCAUGACACUUUCUCAUUCCUCUCCCUGAACAGAAU